Molecule: unclassified non-coding RNA, 378 nt
Filed under: plant metagenome
Description: partial contains 5.8S ribosomal RNA, internal transcribed spacer 2, and large subunit ribosomal RNA
Rfam family: 5.8S ribosomal RNA (bases 1-105)
Source: RNAcentral
GAAAUGCGAUAAGUAAUGUGAAUUGCAGAAUUCAGUGAAUCAUCGGAUCUUUGAACGCACCUUGCGCUCCUUGGUAUUCCUUGGAGCAUGCCUGUUUGAGUAUCAUGAAAUCUUCAAAGUAAAUCUUUUGUUAACUCAAUUGGUUUCUACUUUGGUAUUGGAGGUCUUUGCAGCUUCACACCUGCUCCUCUUUGUUCAUUAGCUGGAUCUCAGUGUUAUGCUUGGUUCCACUCGGCGUGAUAAGUUAUCUAUCGCUGAGGACACUGUAAAAGGUGGCCAAGGUAAAUGCAGAUGAACCGCUUCUAAUAGUCCAUUGACUUGGACAAUACUUUUAUGAUCUGAUCUCAAAUCAGGUAGGACUACCCGCUGAACUUAAGC